This 224-nucleotide ribosomal RNA is filed under the name uncultured bacterium. RNAcentral describes it as "partial 16S ribosomal RNA". It matches the Rfam family "Bacterial small subunit ribosomal RNA", at positions 116 to 334 of the family's 1533-position model. The record is from RNAcentral.
CGUGGGUAAUCUGCCCAAGACACAGGAAUAACCAGUGGAAACGCUGGCUAAUGCCUGAUGAUGUGCCGGCCCCUCGGGGCUUGUACCAAAGGUAGCUUCGGCCUCCGGUCUUGGAUGAGCCCGCGUCCCAUUAGCUUGUUGGUGAGGUAACGGCCCACCAAGGCUUCGAUGGGUAGCUGGUCUGAGAGGACGAUCAGCCACACUGGGACUGAGACACGGCCCAG